AGUCGAAAUCCGCUAAGGA
This 19-nucleotide small nuclear RNA is filed under the name Arabidopsis thaliana (thale cress). RNAcentral describes it as "snRNA_05588". Lineage: Eukaryota; Viridiplantae; Streptophyta; Magnoliopsida; Brassicales; Brassicaceae. The record is from RNAcentral.